CGGAGGGUGCAAGCGUUAUCCGGAUUCACUGGGUUUAAAGGGUGCGUAGGUGGGCAAGUAAGUCAGUGGUGAAAUCUCCGGGCUUAACCCGGAAACUGCCAUUGAUACUAUUUGUCUUGAAUACUGUGGAGGUCAGCGGAAUAUGUCAUGUAGCGGUGAAAUGCUUAGAUAUGACAUAGAACACCAAUUGCGAAGGCAGCUGGCUACACAAAUAUUGACACUGAGGCACGAAUGCGUGGGGAUCAAACAGGAUUAGAUACCCUGGUAGUCCACGCCCUAAACUAUGGAUACUCGACAUUUGCGAUAAACUGCAAGUGUCUGAGCGAAAGCAUUAAGUAUCCCACCUGGGAAGUACGAUCGCAGAUUG
Molecule: ribosomal RNA, 367 nt
Filed under: uncultured organism
Description: bacterial SSU rRNA
Rfam family: Bacterial small subunit ribosomal RNA
Source: RNAcentral